CCGAACCUUGUACACACCGCCCGUACACCACCUACGAAAAACUUGUUUGUGCCCAAAGUGGUCUUAGCCAACCUGAAAAGGAAGCGGACAACUAAGGUAUGGACAGUAAUUGGGGUGAA
This 119-nucleotide ribosomal RNA is filed under the name uncultured bacterium. RNAcentral's name for it is "partial 16S ribosomal RNA". The record is from RNAcentral.